This 494-nucleotide ribosomal RNA is filed under the name uncultured bacterium. RNAcentral's name for it is "partial 16S ribosomal RNA". It matches the Rfam family "Bacterial small subunit ribosomal RNA", at positions 28 to 507 of the family's 1533-position model. The record is from RNAcentral.
GACGAACGCUGGCGGCGUGCUUAACACAUGCAAGUCGAACGGAAAGGCCUGCUUUCCCUUGUGGAUUGCGGGUACUCGAGUGGCGAACGGGUGAGUAACACGUGAGUGAUCUGCCCCCAACUUGGGUAUAAGCCUGGGAAACUGGGCCUAAUUCCCGAUAGGACUGCAGGGUGGUGCCUGUGGUGGAAAACGAUUUUCUAGUGGUUGGGGAUGAGCUCGCGGGCUAUCAGCUUGUUGGUGGGGUAAUGGCCUACCAAGGCGGCGACGGGUAGCCGGCCUGAGAGGGUGGACGGGCACAUUGGGACUGAGAUACGGCCCAGACUCCUACGGGAGGCAGCAGUGGGGAAUAUUGCACAAUGGGCGGAAGCCUGAUGCAGCGACGCCGCGUGGGGGAUGACGGCCUUCGGGUUGUAAACUCCUUUCGACCGCGAGGAAGCCACCUGGUUGGAAGGGUGGUGACGGUAGUGGUAGAAGAAGCACCGGCUAACUACGUG